GAUGAACGCUGGCUACAGGCUUAACACAUGCAAGUCGAGGGGAAACGACGGGGAAGCUUGCUUCCCCGGGCGUCGACCGGCGCACGGGUGAGUAACGCGUAUCCAACCUGCCUCUGACUGAGGGAUAACCCGUCGAAAGUCGGCCUAAUACCUCAUGGCAUCGUCUGCGGGCAUCCAACGACGAUUAAAGAUUUCAUCGGUCAGAGAUGGGGAUGCGUCUGAUUAGCUUGUUGGCGGGGUAACGGCCCACCAAGGCCACGAUGAGUAGGCGAUCGGAGAGGGUGAUAGGCCACACUGGACGGGAGACACGGUCCAGACUCUGAAGGGAGGCAGAAGUAGGGAAUAUUACGAGAGGGGAGAAAGCUGGAUGGAGGAAAGCCGCGUGAGUGAUGAAGGUCGGCGGAGAGUAAAGCUCGGCGAUUAGGGAAGAACAAAUGUGGAAGUAAAUAGGCACGUUUGGACGGGACCGAAUCAGAAAGGCACGGCUAAAUACGUG
RNAcentral lists this ribosomal RNA (496 nucleotides) under uncultured bacterium. RNAcentral's name for it is "partial 16S ribosomal RNA". It matches the Rfam family "Bacterial small subunit ribosomal RNA", at positions 28 to 507 of the family's 1533-position model. The record is from RNAcentral.